AUACAUGCAAGUCGAGCGGACAGAAGGGAGCUGCUCCCGGAUGUAGCGGCGGACGGGUGAGUAACACGUGGGUAACUGCUGUAAGACUGGGAUAACUCCGGGAAACCGGAGCUAAUACCGGAUAGUUCCCUGAACCGCAUGGUUCAAGGAUGAAAGACGGUUUCGGCUGUCACUUACAGAUGGACCGCGGCGCAUAGCUAGUUGGUGAGGUAACGGCUCACCAAGGCGACGAUGCGUAGCCGACCUGAGAGGGUGAUCGGCCACACUGGGACUGAGACACGGCCCAGACUCCUACGGGAGGCAGCAGUAGGGAAUCUUCCGCAAUGGACGAAAGUCUGACGGAGCAACGCCGCGUGAGUGAUGAAGGUUUUCGGAUCGUAAAGCUCUGUUGUUAGGGAAGAACAAGUGCAAGAGUAACUGCUUGCACCUUGACGGUACCUAACCAGAAAGCCACGGCUAACUACGUGCCAGCAGCCGCGGUAAUACGUAGGUGGCAAGCGUUGUCCGGAAUUAUUGGGCGUAAAGGGCUCGCAGGCGGUUUCUUAAGUCUGAUGUGAAAGCCCCCGGCUCAACCGGGGAGGGUCAUUGGAAACUGGGAAACUUGAGUGCAGAAGAGGAGAGUGGAAUUCCACGUGUAGCGGUGAAAUGCGUAGAGAUGUGGAGGAACACCAGUGGCGAAGGCGACUCUCUGGUCUGUAACUGACGCUGAGGAGCGAAAGCGUGGGGAGCGAACAGGAUUAGAUACCCUGGUAGUCCACGCCGUAAACGAUGAGUGCUAAGUGUUAGGGGGUUUCCGCCCCUUAGUGCUGCAGCUAACGCAUUAAGCACUCCGCCUGGGGAGUACGGUCGCAAGACUGAAACUCAAAGGAAUUGACGGGGGCCCGCACAAGCGGUGGAGCAUGUGGUUUAAUUCGAAGCAACGCGAAGAACCUUACCAGGUCUUGACAUCCUCUGACAACCCUAGAGAUAGGGCUUUCCCUUCGGGGACAGAGUGACAGGU
Molecule: ribosomal RNA, 1000 nt
Filed under: Bacillus aerius
Lineage: Bacteria; Bacillati; Bacillota; Bacilli; Caryophanales; Bacillaceae
Description: bacterial SSU rRNA
Rfam family: Bacterial small subunit ribosomal RNA
Source: RNAcentral